AAUGCAAGUCUUAGUACAGCCAAGUAAUGGGCGAGACCGCGGACAGCUCAUUAUAUCAGUUGUUGUUUCUUUGAUGACUUGAAACUUCGGUCUCAAUGGAUAACUGUGGCAAUUCUAGAGCUAAUACAUGUCUAAUAUUAAACAAAUCCCUUUACCUAUGGUCAGGGUGCUGUUAUUAGUAUAAAAAACCUUUUCAUACAUGACAGGACUAGAAGAUUGUGUUUCACAAWUUGUAAAUAAUAUAAUUUUUAAUUCCUACACAAAUCUUUGUUCUGUAAAUCACCUAAAAAUGAGUCUAAAUAACCCAGUUAAGCGCAGUCUUUGCUACUGCUGCUACUACUUUCAAGUGUCUGUCUUAUCAGCUACAUUGUAUGAUAUGUGUAUACUGUGGCGAUAACGGGUGACGGGGAAUCAGGGUUCGAUUCCGGAGAGGGAGCCUGAGAAACAGCUACCACAUCCAAGGAAGGCAGCAGGCGCGCAAAUUACCCACUCCCGGCUUGGGGAGGUAGUGACGAAAAAUAACAAUGUGAGACUCAUCAGAGGCUUCGCAAUUGGAAUGAGUACACUUUAAAUCCUUUAACCAGUAUCCAUUGGAGGGCAAGUCUGGUGCCAGCAGCCGCGGUAAUUCCAGCUCCAAAAGCAUAUAUUAAAGUUGUUGCGGUUAAAAAGCUCGUAGUUCGCUUUCAGUUUUGGACUGAUGGCGUUUUACUGCCAGGUGUAUGCCAUCACGCUCCUAAGCUGCUAAACAACCCAACAAGUUGUGUGCUCUGCCAGCUCGCAUGGGAUGCUCUUAACCGAGUGUCCUGAGUGGCUGGCAUGUUUACUUUGAAAAAAUUAGAGUGCUCAGAGCAGGUUUUACAGCCUGAAUGACUUUGCAUAGUAUAAUAAAACAAGACCUUGGUUCCAUUUUAUGAAAAGGUUUUCAUGAAACCGAGAUAAUGAUUAGUAGAGAUAAGUGGGGGCAUCUGUACUGUGGCGUUAGAGGUAAAAGGAUGUUUUCAUUAAUCAAGAACGAAAGUUAGAGGUUCGAAGGCGAUCAGAUACCGCCCUAGUUCUAACCAUAAACGAUGCUAACCAGCAAUCCGUUGGGGUUAUUCCCAUGACCUGACGGGCAGCUUCCGGGAAACCAAAGUCUUUGAGUUUCGGGGGGAGUAUGGUUGCAAAGCUGAAACUUAAAGGAAUUGACGGAAGGGCACCACCAGGAGUGGAGCCUGUGGCUUAAUUUGACUCAACACGGGGAACCUUACCAGGCCCAGACACUAGAAGGAUUGACAGAUUAAAAGUUCUUUCUUGAUUCAGUGGGUGGUGGUGCAUGGCCGUUCUUAGUUGGUGGAGUGAUUUGUCUGGUUAAUUCCGAUAACGAACGAGACUCUGGCCUAUUAACUAGUCGACGGAUACAUUGUUGUCCAGUUCGCAACUUCUUCUUAGAGGGAUAAGCGGUAUGUCCUAGCCGCAUGAGAUUGAGCAAUAACAGGUCUGUGAUGCCCUUAGAUGUUCUGGGCUGCACGCGCGCUACACUGAAGGGAUCAAUGAGUUUUCCUUCUCCGAGAGGAGAGGGUAACCAGAUGAACCCCCUUCGUGAUAGGGAUUGGGGCUUGCAAUUUUUUCCCAUGAACGAGGAAUUCCCAGUAAGCGCAAGUUAUCAUCUUGUGUUGAUUACGUCCCUGCCCUUUGUACACACCGCCCGUCGCUACUACCGAUUGGAUGAUUUAGUGAGGACCUUGGACUGCAGUCUCUUGCAAAGGAACCUAUUGUGUUCUUUCUUGCAUGUAGCAGACAGAAAAUUGUCCGAACUUGAUUAUCUAGAGGAAGUAAAAGUCGUAACAAGGUUUCC
This 1834-nucleotide ribosomal RNA is filed under the name Bathymunida balssi. RNAcentral's name for it is "SSU rRNA". The record is from RNAcentral. Lineage: Eukaryota; Metazoa; Arthropoda; Malacostraca; Decapoda; Munididae.